Molecule: long non-coding RNA, 1034 nt
Filed under: Gadus morhua (Atlantic cod)
Lineage: Eukaryota; Metazoa; Chordata; Actinopteri; Gadiformes; Gadidae
Description: lncRNA (ENSGMOG00000024779.1)
Source: RNAcentral
AUGCUAGCCCCACACCACGGCCCUUAUCAGCCAAGCUAUCCACCUCCUGUCCACAUGUCCACCUUUAACAAUUCCCAGCGGCGCAGGCACGCCCAGGGCAGCCCUGCCACGGGCUCAGCCGUGAACACCCUGUACCAGGACGGUGAGUUAACAUGGAAGGCUUUAUAUGUUGCUGUAAAAGUGAAAAGCUCUGUUGAUGUUUCGAUAUAUUGAGGAUGAUUUGAGGAGGUAAGUGGAGCCGGUUGGUGGGUUUGACUCCCAGCCGAAAGGUUCAGGGUUCGAACCCCGAUGUACUGCGGUCAUGCCAGCCGACUCAUCGAGAUCGGCGGUCAAGCCAGCCGACCCAGUUUUUUGCCGUACCUGUAUAUACUAGCCAUUACGGUAAUAGCGUCUCAGAACUAGUUUAAAGUAAAAGCAUUCGUCGGGUACAUACAAAAAGACAGUCAAAAAAAGCAAAUACUAUCAAAGGAAGUGUACGGCCGUUGUGGUAUUUACUUUCAAAAUAAAAGCCAACCAAACAUUCCAAUCUGAGACAUAUUACAAAUGAUUUUGGAUUCGAUUUAAAAGAAAAUGCCCUAUUAUUCCAUGCUCAUUUCACUUCAGGGUUAUAGUUCACAACCCCAUAGGGUCACCCAAGAAGUUCCAGAACAUUCUGAUGUGGAGUUUCAAAAUAAAAGCCCACCAAAAAAUCCAAUAUGAGACAUAUUACAUAUAAUUUUGGAUUCAAUUUAAAAGAAAAUGCCCUGUUAUUCCAGGCUCAUUUCACUUCAUGGUUAUAGUUCACGACACCAUAGGGUCACCCAAGAGGUUUCAGAACAUUCUGAUGUGGAGUUUCAAAAUAAAAGCCCACCAAAAAUUCCAAUAUGAGACAUAUUACAUAUGAUUUUGGAAUCAAUUUAAAAGAAAAAGCCCUGUUAUUUCAGGCUCAUUUCUAUUCAGGGUUAUAGUUCACGACCCCAUGGGGUCAGGCAAAAGGUUUCAGAACAUUCUGAUGUGGAGUUUCAAAAUAAAAGCCAACCAAAGUUUCCAAUAUG